This 45-nucleotide non-coding RNA is filed under the name Schistosoma margrebowiei. The record is from RNAcentral. Lineage: Eukaryota; Metazoa; Platyhelminthes; Trematoda; Strigeidida; Schistosomatidae.
AUCCAGCCGAUGAGCCCCAAAUAGGAGGAAAUGCACGUCCUAGAU